This 1518-nucleotide ribosomal RNA is filed under the name Rahnella sp. JUb53. RNAcentral describes it as "partial 23S ribosomal RNA". It matches the Rfam family "Bacterial large subunit ribosomal RNA", at positions 396 to 1896 of the family's 2925-position model. Lineage: Bacteria; Pseudomonadati; Pseudomonadota; Gammaproteobacteria; Enterobacterales; Yersiniaceae. The record is from RNAcentral.
GUUGUGAGUUCGAUGAGUAGGGCGGGACACGUGACAUCCUGUCUGAAUAUGGGGGGACCAUCCUCCAAGGCUAAAUACUCCUGACUGACCGAUAGUGAACCAGUACCGUGAGGGAAAGGCGAAAAGAACCCCGGCGAGGGGAGUGAAAUAGAACCUGAAACCGUGUACGUACAAGCAGUGGGAGCCUACUUUGUUGGGUGACUGCGUACCUUUUGUAUAAUGGGUCAGCGACUUAUAUUUUGUAGCAAGGUUAACCGAAUAGGGGAGCCGUAGGGAAACCGAGUCUUAACUGGGCGUCAAGUUGCAAGGUAUAGACCCGAAACCCGGUGAUCUAGCCAUGGGCAGGUUGAAGGUUGGGUAACACUAACUGGAGGACCGAACCGACUAAUGUUGAAAAAUUAGCGGAUGACUUGUGGCUGGGGGUGAAAGGCCAAUCAAACCGGGAGAUAGCUGGUUCUCCCCGAAAGCUAUUUAGGUAGCGCCUCGUGAACUCAUCUUCGGGGGUAGAGCACUGUUUCGACUAGGGGGCCAUCCCGGCUUACCAACUCGAUGCAAACUACGAAUACCGAAGAAUGUUAUCACGGGAGACACACGGCGGGUGCUAACGUCCGUCGUGAAGAGGGAAACAACCCAGACCGCCAGCUAAGGUCCCAAAGUCAUGGUUAAGUGGGAAACGAUGUGGGAAGGCAUAGACAGCCAGGAUGUUGGCUUAGAAGCAGCCAUCAUUUAAAGAAAGCGUAAUAGCUCACUGGUCGAGUCGGCCUGCGCGGAAGAUGUAACGGGGCUAAACCAUGCACCGAAGCUGCGGCAGCGACGCUUAUGCGUUGUUGGGUAGGGGAGCGUUCUGUAAGCCGUCGAAGGUGAACUGUGAGGUUUGCUGGAGGUAUCAGAAGUGCGAAUGCUGACAUAAGUAACGAUAAUGCGGGUGAAAAACCCGCACGCCGGAAGACCAAGGGUUCCUGUCCAACGUUAAUCGGGGCAGGGUGAGUCGACCCCUAAGGCGAGGCUGAAAAGCGUAGUCGAUGGGAAGCUGGUUAAUAUUCCAGCACUUGGUGUUACUGCGAAGGGGGGACGGAGAAGGCUAGGCUAGCCGGGCGACGGUUGUCCCGGUUCAAGCGUGUAGGGGGUGUGAUUUGGUAAAUCCGGUCGCAUAUCAACCCUGAGGCGUGAUAACGAGCCACUACGGUGGUGAAGUAGUUGAUGCCAAGCUUCCAGGAAAAGCCUCUAAGCUCCAGGUAACACGAAAUCGUACCCCAAACCGACACAGGUGGUCAGGUAGAGAAUACUCAGGCGCUUGAGAGAACUCGGGUGAAGGAACUAGGCAAAAUGGUGCCGUAACUUCGGGAGAAGGCACGCUGGCGCGUAGGUGAAGGGACUUGCUCCCGGAGCUGAAGCCAGUCGAAGAUACCAGCUGGCUGCAACUGUUUAAUAAAAACACAGCACUGUGCAAACACGAAAGUGGACGUAUACGGUGUGACGCCUGCCCGGUGCCGGAAGGUUAAUUGAUGGGGUUAUCCG